CAGAGUUCGUGCCCUCACGGGUAGAUCUCCCACCCCUAUGUUAUUGUAUUCCUUGUUGCUUUGGCAGGCCGCCGGGCCACGGCCAGGCUAUCGGCUUUGGCUGAUAAGCGCCUGCCAGAGGAUCCUAAACUCUGAAUAUUUAGUGUUGUCCGAGUACUAUAUAAUAGUUA
Molecule: unclassified non-coding RNA, 170 nt
Filed under: uncultured Helotiales
Lineage: Eukaryota; Fungi; Ascomycota; Leotiomycetes; Helotiales
Description: sequence contains ITS1
Source: RNAcentral